This 73-nucleotide transfer RNA is filed under the name Trichonephila inaurata madagascariensis. It matches the Rfam family "tRNA". Rfam says of the family: Transfer RNA (tRNA) molecules are approximately 80 nucleotides in length. Their secondary structure includes four short double-helical elements and three loops (D, anti-codon, and T loops). Further hydrogen bonds mediate the characteristic L-shaped molecular structure. tRNAs have two regions of fundamental functional importance: the anti-codon, which is responsible for specific mRNA codon recognition, and the 3' end, to which the tRNAs corresponding amino acid is attached (by aminoacyl-tRNA synthetases). tRNAs cope with the degeneracy of the genetic code in two manners: having more than one tRNA (with a specific anti-codon) for a particular amino acid; and 'wobble' base-pairing, i.e. permitting non-standard base-pairing at the 3rd anti-codon position. Lineage: Eukaryota; Metazoa; Arthropoda; Arachnida; Araneae; Nephilidae. The record is from Rfam by way of RNAcentral.
GUUUCUGUAGCGCAAUGGAUAGCGCGUUGGACUUCUAACCCAGAGGUCGUUGGUUCGAAUCCUACCUGGGAUG